Molecule: transfer RNA, 72 nt
Filed under: Ornithorhynchus anatinus (platypus)
Lineage: Eukaryota; Metazoa; Chordata; Mammalia; Monotremata; Ornithorhynchidae
Rfam family: tRNA
About the family: Transfer RNA (tRNA) molecules are approximately 80 nucleotides in length.
Source: Rfam by way of RNAcentral
AGCAGUGUGGCCUAAUACAAAGAGCAUGGGCCUGGAAGUCCAAGGAUCUGGGUUCUAAUCCUGACUCUGCUA